This 253-nucleotide ribosomal RNA is filed under the name uncultured bacterium. RNAcentral's name for it is "partial 16S ribosomal RNA". It matches the Rfam family "Bacterial small subunit ribosomal RNA", at positions 524 to 776 of the family's 1533-position model. The record is from RNAcentral.
UACGUAGGGUGCAAGCGUUAAUCGGAAUUACUGGGCGUAAAGCGUGCGCAGGCGGCUUUGCAAGACAGAUGUGAAAUCCCCGGGCUCAACCUGGGAACUGCAUUUGUGACUGCAUCGCUCGAGUGCGGCAGAGGGGGAUGGAAUUCCGCGUGUAGCAGUGAAAUGCGUAGAUAUGCGGAGGAACACCGAUGGCGAAGGCAAUCCCCUGUGCCUGCACUGACGCUCAUGCACGAAAGCGUGGGGAGCAAACAGU